GGCCGGGAGUCCGGAGGGUCCGGAGCCCGGGAGGGCACAGAGGCUGGAGGAAAGUUGUGGGAUCCGAGCCCCAGCCGCCGCCGGAGCCGGAGCCGCCGGGGCGAGGACCACCCAGCGGGGAUCCGGCACGACCUUCGGACCCGCCCAGUUCGGCUGCCCGGGUCGCCCCGGGGUCGGGGGCAGCCGCGGGGGCCGCGGGCGGGAGGCGUGAACCCGGGGGCUGCAUGAUGCGCUCCAAACACAGGGGCCCCGGGGCUGUGCGGGGCACCCUGCCGGGCAGAGGUCACAUCCUCAGAGCAGAUAUCACCUUCCUGGAAGAAACCAGUGUUUUCUGAGGAACUCAAGUUCACAGUGCAGAGGAAGAAGGGAUGAAGAACAGAGAGAAAGAGAGAGAAAGCCCUUGCGUCCUCAGGUCCUAACAGCAUCGUCAGACAGGGUGAGUAGGAUCUGCCCCAGCCAGCACCUUCCUGGGACGUUCCAGCAGGAAAGCAGCAGCUUCUACAAACGGCCACUUGUUGACAAGGUGUAGGUGCAGCGGUAUCAUUGCAAGAGGAAGAAUCUGUGAGAAAAAGAGAAACAAAUGUUUACUGAAAGACAGCGGCCUUUGGGGUACCAAGAAGCUGGGGUCUGGGAAUAUCGUCCUCCAUUGAUGAUCCUCUAAGUGAGCUUGUUUCCGGAAAAAGAAAAAAAAAAAAGCAGCAAUAUUUCUAAGGCUGCCCAGCCAGCUUUUCCCUUAAUAAGAGUGAGCUCCCCGACAAGUUAUGGUGGUUAGGGAUAGAAAUGCAUUAGCAAAAUAAGCAAGCUGAUAAACUUCUACUAGACCCCGUGGAGAACUUUUUCCCCCCGUGUGUUCAAAACUGAAAGCUGAUUGCCAUAUCAUCUGUACUUACAGGACCCUCUUACACAGGCAGGCACUUAAAGAACUUGUGCAAUUGCUGAAAUUGAGAGGAUUACCCUGAUAGCCCUGGUCAGAGCUUAGUGGAAAAUGCACUUUCUUAAAUGCACUAUUCUUAAAAUAGAUGAGGCAGACUCUUCUUGGGCCAGGAGGUGAAGCGAGAGUGUAUAUAAUUUGAAGGUGGCAGGUGGCAGAGGGGAAAUGGUUUUUGCUUUUUCCUAAUUUUCGGUCAUCAUUGUCUUGAAUGUACAGGGUGGUUUUAGUCUCAGCCCUAAUGGCAUACAUUGAACCAUCAACAGUACCACCAAACAAAGGAUGGUGAAUUCUACACAUCGUCCAUGGGAAGUGUUCACAGAAACUCAUUUCAUGUGGUUUUCCAAAGCGGAAUGGAAUCCAGUUAUUUUGAGUGGCUUAAGCAAAUAUCUGCUAUGUUUCUCAGGCAGACAAACAUGGCAAAUAUCUGCAGAGGACAGACGUCUGUCCUCUUUCCGAGGGACAUCCAAGGAGACACAGUAGCUGGGCAGCCGACCCAAGGCCACACUUCCUGGGGACACAGGGCAGAAAUUAGAAGGCAGGGCUGCUUCAGGGGACAAGGAAGGCAACCUGGAACAUUUGUCUUCCUGUGGAACAGAAUCCAUAGAUAAUUUGGGGCAAAAAUAACACUCCUGAUAUUCAUCAACUGAGUCAAAAAGCAGAGCUAUCUAGAAUGGGGUGAAUUAGGGUGAAUUAGGAUAUCCUCAACAUCCUUGUGAAGUUGCAAGCACAGCCUUUCUUUUUCAACUCUUUUUUUUUUUUUUUAAACCGGGUUGUCCUGUUCUAAUAAAUUUAUUUACUCAUUUAUUUA
Molecule: long non-coding RNA, 1739 nt
Organism: Balaenoptera ricei (Rice's whale)
Lineage: Eukaryota; Metazoa; Chordata; Mammalia; Artiodactyla; Balaenopteridae
Exons: 5
Source: RefSeq, a predicted model, not a curated record